GAAUUAGAACAACAACAUUUACAUGGAGAUGCAUUUGAGUUUCUUCUUCCCUUCUCCAGGGCAGUGUUUCCCUGAACAAAGUUCAAAUUUCCUUGUGGCCAUAAGAUCUAUCCAACUUAACCAAGUCACCAAUCAGUACAUAUAGUUCUGACAAACUUUCUCUGUAUUCAUCGUAUCUGCUCUCUUCUACAUUCUACAUUUUACUUUGAUCUAGCUAAAUAACUCACCCAAAAGACAAAAAAAUAAAUAAAAAAAAUAAAAAUUAAUAAUAAUAAUUUUCACAUGAGAGUACUAUCUUUCUAACAUUUGUUUUAUUGGUUCCCAAAUUUUUUCUAAUUUCCCUAGUCCCAGUCAUAGUCUUGCAUUAAUUUGUUCCAUUUUGUAGACCUGUCUAACUCUGUCUCUCCACUGUGCCACCCUUGGGGGUUCUGUGUCCAGCCAUAAAACUGUAAUACACUUCUUGGCAGUCAUAAGCAGAAUUCUGAUUACGUAUGUCUCCAUUAUGUGUGUGUGAUUUUUGGUACAGCAUUCCCAGUACAAACCAUUUUAACUUAAAUUGUAAUUUCACCUUCAAGGUUCUUUCAAUUUCUCCCUAACACCUUCCCAGAAUGGUAUGAAUUUAGGGCAGUCCAAAAGUAUAUGUGAAAAGUCUCCCACUAGCCCGCAUUUUCUCCAACAUAAAUUUGAAACAUUACUAUUUAGACAUGAUAAGUGGAGUUUUAAAGCAUGCAUCUUCACCUUCCAUUCAAAUUCCCUCCAAGACGGACUAUUAGUAGUUUAUGGCCUGCUUCAAGUGUUUCCUCCCAUUCCUCAUCUGUUAUCAUUAUGUUCACUUCCAGUUCCCAUUUUUCUUUAAUAUCUAUAUUCUUAACAAUCAAAUCCUGUUGUAAAGCUUUAUAUAUUUUGAAAUCAGUCCUUUUUGACAUGUCCUUUCUGUUUAACAUAAUCACUUCCUCCAUAUUAAGUUUAUCCUUGCUUGAAACUUUGCCUUAUUUUGAAAUAACUACUCUGUCUGUCUGUCCUAAAUAACAUAUUAAGCAUGAAAUUACGAAUUAUUGUGAAAUUACACGCACAGGAAGUGCUUUUAUUUUGUAGCAUUUGCUCAGUCAGCUCUGGAAGCUUCUCAGCAGACCGAGAAGAUGAGCGAGGGUCGGAGGAGCAUUAACCGUUGGAGGUCGCGCUUUUGUUCUGCAUCUGCACUUGACAGUCACUGGUUCUGCACCACUGAGCUAAAUAUGUGUAAAUGUAGAGCAUCUGCGUUCCUAUGAGCUGUCAGCCACAUCGGGAAGCCUGUCUAUGAAUCUGCGGUCAGACUUCAAUGAUCCAACCCCACUCUCUGCACACAAGAUUGAUGGCAUGCUGCUGUUGAUCCCCAAUAGGUUCAUACAAGUGAGAUCACUGGAAUUACAUGAUGUCCACACAAGGCGUACCACUGUUCUCCAUGCCCUUCCUGUCUAUCUACGUGAGGAAACCUCUGGGUUUUUGAGGACAUGUGUGGAUGAUACCAAUGAGCCGGACCUCAGGGAUGCAGCAGUUGUCCUCCUGACAACCAUCACUGAUGAUGCCGAGAGUCCAGUUACGUACGACCCAGUGAGAAUCUGUUAUCCUAGAGGGUGAUGUGAUUGUCAACCUCUCCAGCCUUCCUGAUGUCUUCCUGGGCAUGCUCAGUUGAAGUUUCCAUCUCUGCGCGUUCAAGAUGUAAGAAAAAUAACACGAAAGAAAUGCAACAACGAAAACUUCAAAAAGGCAUCAACAACCAAGCAAGUGGAUCCAUAAAAUGGACUGAUUUUUUUAAAGGCAUUUUUAAAAAGUCUUUCAAAAUGGACAGAAUUAACGCGUCAUGUUCAGAACAGUUUGCGUUCUCAUCUUUGAUUAAUCCUGGUAAACAGGUCUGUUUUUGUUCUGUUCUAAUUCUCUCUCUUUAAUAAAUUUAAACAAAAUGACUUAGCUAUUUUAUUUACUUUUUUUCUCUGCAUAAAGACGAAGUAUCAGUAAAUAGUGGAAAGUAAAUGUAAUGGUAGUAAGCAAAUAGCAGAUGUUAAAUGUUACUUGCAGUAUGUGUUUAUAGAAAAAAUAGAGAUACUUAAAUGUACUAAAAUAAUAUUACGUCAAGUUUACUGUAAAGUGUACUUUCAAAACUGUAAGUAUACUCAAUUAUAUAAGAAGUACACUACAAGUAAACAUACAUUAUUACUUUAAGUAUAAUUUUAAGUAUACAUUCAAAGAGAAAAGUAUACUCAAUUAUUUCAGAAGUACACUACAAGUAAACUUAUAAUGUUACUUAAAUUUUAUUUUUAAGUAUACUUUCAAGGGCAAAAGUUUACUCAAUUUUAUUAGAAGUAAACUUAUACUGUUACUUUUAAGUAUACUUUCAAUGAGAAAAGUAUACUCAACUAUAUCAGGAGUACACUACAAGUAAACUUAUAUUGUUACUUUUAAGUAUACUUCCAAGGAGAAAAGUAUACUCAAUUAUUUCAGAAGUACACUACAAGUAAACUUAUAAGUAUACUUUCAAGGAGAAAAGUAUACUCAACUAUAUCAGGAGUACACUACAAGUAAACUUAUAUUGUUACUUUUAAGCAUACUUCCAAGGAGAAAAGUAUACUCAAUUAUAUCAGAAGUACACUACAAGUAAACUUAUAAGUAUACUUUCAAGGAGAAAAGUAUACUCAAUUAUAUCUGAAGUACACUCCAAGUACACUUGUGAGGUUACUUUAAGUAUACUUUCAAAGAGAAAAGUAUACUCAAUUAUAUCAGAAGUACACUACAAAUAAACUUAAAUUAUUACUUUGAAGUAUACUUGUAGUAUACUUCAAGUAUACUUUUAGCGGCCCAAUUUAGUCCCAAGGAGUAUACUUCUAAGUAAACUUUAAGAACAAGUAUGCAAAUAAACUUCUGUACACUUAAGUAUACUUGAAAUUAAAUACUUAAAGUAUACUUCUUUUUCGUAAGGGACGGCGGGCUCCAGUCUGAGGUGAGUAAGCUAAAUAAACGUUUUAACAUCUUCUAAAGACAAUUCCCUACCUAAAUGCAAAGUCUGAGAGACGUGGUUCACUUCCUUUAGCUAGUCAGUCGGCAAUUCUGCAACAGUGGCUCUAACUGACGCAGCACUAGUUGACAGACAGCAUUACAGCGUGAAAUCCAGCUUGUGACCCGGUUCUGUAAGGAAUUCUGUUCAGGAGGUCGCAUUUCAGGCUCUCCACAUCAUGUGUGACUGACUUUUACGUUAUAAAAACGAUCACACACUAGGAAUGUUAUAAAGCGCCUAUAUAGGAGAUUCUUUUGUAUAUUAUCUGACUUUAUAAACUCCCAACAACAAUGUGCUUAUUUUUUUUUUUCAGGCUAAAUCUACCCAAGACACUGGCUGUCAGACUGAUUUAGCUGCAAGAAUGCACUUGUCCAGGCUGACAUGAAACCUUCCCUGUAGCAAAGCCAGCCAGAAUGGAGUUCACAGCCGCAGUGUGUCUGGUGACCCACAGGGACCAUGAUGAAAAUUCAUCUUCCAGAAGGUCCCAGAGCAGCAGCCACGCCCCCUGAAAAGACCAAGAUGUAAGGUGUCUGCUGUUGAUUCCAGCUUCCACCUCAGUGACAGUGCAAGCUCAGUGAACUGUUCAAGGUAAAAAAAAAUUAAAACAUUUCAGAAUUUUUAAGAUAUUAACAAUUAAAUAAGUAUGUGAUUACAUCAUGACGGAGGCUACUGAUUCUGCCCCCGUGACACUUGGUGGUGACGUGUGAGCUGAUUCACCUGGAAAACAACUUUUACAUUAAAUAUUUUGUUUUUGCUAUCAAAAGUAAAUUAACUAAUAACCUGCAUUAUUGCAGGACACUCAGCAAAAUAUGGACUCUAGAGGCAGGCACACGUUAAUAUUCUAUAGGAGCACAUAAGGUGAGCAACACCACACAUUGUACACUGUCCUGAAUUUGUUUUCGUUCUGCAUCUCAUUAGCCUGGCUGAUCACCUGAUAACUCCUGUCAUCUGGUUAUGACAGCAUGAGGAUGUCCUCACACACCUGUAACCUAUCAGCUCAUCUGGCAGAAUAGAGAGAGAAGAUACAACACCACAUCUCCUGUUCCUGGAAAGCCUUCAGCCAUCCUUCGAUGACUGAGAACCUCCAUCAGCUCUGUCUCCUGUCUGCCUACAAUUAUUAUAAUAAAUAUUGUGUUUGACAAGUUUUUU
This is a non-coding RNA of Nothobranchius furzeri (turquoise killifish), 4177 nucleotides long. NCBI's taxonomy places the organism in Eukaryota, Metazoa, Chordata, Actinopteri, Cyprinodontiformes, Nothobranchiidae. The record is from RefSeq and is a predicted model, not a curated record.